GAUGAAUCUUCGUCAUUGAAUGCAAAUAAAUCACUCGGACACAACUAUAUGAGUCAGGAUGAAUCAUAUAGUGGUAAUGUGCAUGCUAAUGAUGACAAUGACGAUUAUGACAGCGAUGAUCAAUCUUAUGCUGAAAGUGGAACCCAGAGAAAUACCGAUGGUGACGCUGAGACGAGAACCUUACAUGAUGACAAUGAUGAGGAUGAUAACAAUAAUGAGGAUGGUGAUAAUGAUGAGGAU
Long non-coding RNA from Hordeum vulgare subsp. vulgare (domesticated barley), 240 nucleotides. RefSeq lists it as uncharacterized. The transcript is spliced from 3 exons. Lineage: Eukaryota; Viridiplantae; Streptophyta; Magnoliopsida; Poales; Poaceae. The record is from RefSeq and is a predicted model, not a curated record.